CCGUGUUCGAAAGGGAAACAGCCCAGACCACCAGCUAAGGUCCCAAAAUAUAUGUUAAGUGGAAAAGGAUGUGGCGUUGCCCAGACAACUAGGAUGUUGGCUUAGAAGCAGCCAUCAUUUAAAGAGUGCGUAAUAGCUCACUAGUCGAGUGACACUGCGCCGAAAAUGUACCGGGGCUAAACAUAUGACCGAAGCUGUGGAUUGUCCUUUGGACAAUGGUAGGAGAGCGUUCGAAGGGCGUUGAAGCAUGAUCGUAAGGACAGGUGGAGCGCUUAGAAGUGAGAAUGCCGGUGUGAGUAGCGAAAGACGGGUGAGAAUCCCGUCCACCGAUUGACUAAGGU
RNAcentral lists this ribosomal RNA (341 nucleotides) under Staphylococcus aureus. Its description in RNAcentral is "partial 23S ribosomal RNA". It matches the Rfam family "Bacterial large subunit ribosomal RNA", at positions 1005 to 1351 of the family's 2925-position model. The record is from RNAcentral. Lineage: Bacteria; Bacillati; Bacillota; Bacilli; Caryophanales; Staphylococcaceae.